AUCGACGCGUAUCGGAUUACUGGGCGUAAGCGCGCGUAGGUGGUUAAUUAAGUCAAAUGUGAAAUCCCCGAGCUUAACUUGGGAAUUGCAUUCGAUACUGGUUAGCUAGAGUAUGGGAGAGGAUGGUAGAAUUCCAGGUGUAGCGGUGAAAUGCGUAGAGAUCUGGAGGAAUACCGAUGGCGAAGGCAGCCAUCUGGCCUAAUACUGACACUGAGGUGCGAAAGCAUGGGGAGCAAACAGGAUUAGAUACCCUGGUAGUCCAUGCCGUAAACGAUGUCUACUAGCCGUUGGGGGAUUUGAUCCUUUAGUGGCGCAGCUAACGCGAUAAGUAGACCGCCUGGGGAGUACGGUCGCAAGACUAAAACUCAAAUGAAUUGACGGGGGCCCGCACAAGCGGUGGAGCAUGUGGUUUAAUUCGAUGCAACGCGAAGAACCUUACCUGGCCUUGACAUAGUAGAAACUUUCCAGAGAUGGAUUGGUGCCUUCGGGAAUCUACAUACAGGUGCUGCAUGGCUGUCGUCAGCUCGUGUCGUGAGAUGUUGGGUUAAGUCCCGCAACGAGCGCAACCCUUUUCCUUACUUGCCAGCAUUUCGGAUGGGAACUUUAAGGAUACUGCCAGUGACAAACUGGAGGAAGGCGGGGACGACGUCAAGUCAUCAUGGCCCUUACGGCCAGGGCUACACACGUGCUACAAUGGUCGGUACAAAGGGUUGCUACACAGCGAUGUGAUGCUAAUCUCAAAAAGCCGAUCGUAGUCCGGAUCGCAGUCUGCAACUCGACUGCGUGAAGUCGGAAUCGCUAGUAAUCGCGGAUCAGAAUGCCGCGGUGAAUACGUUCCCAGGCCUUGUACACACCGUCCCGUCACACCAUGUGAGUGUGUUGCACAUGAGUACGUAGUCUAACCGCAAGCACGACCCUUACCACGGUGUGACCGAGACUGGGUGAAGUCGUAACAGAUAACAAAAAAAA
RNAcentral lists this ribosomal RNA (969 nucleotides) under Acinetobacter sp. NF18. RNAcentral's name for it is "bacterial SSU rRNA". It matches the Rfam family "Bacterial small subunit ribosomal RNA", at positions 534 to 1508 of the family's 1533-position model. Lineage: Bacteria; Pseudomonadati; Pseudomonadota; Gammaproteobacteria; Moraxellales; Moraxellaceae. The record is from RNAcentral.